ACCUGGGUGGCUCAGUCGGUUAAGCAUCUGACUUCAGCUCAGGUCAUGAUCUCAUGGUUUGUGAGUUCGAGCCCCACAUCAGGCG
This 85-nucleotide transfer RNA is filed under the name Felis catus (domestic cat). It matches the Rfam family "tRNA". Rfam says of the family: Transfer RNA (tRNA) molecules are approximately 80 nucleotides in length. Their secondary structure includes four short double-helical elements and three loops (D, anti-codon, and T loops). Lineage: Eukaryota; Metazoa; Chordata; Mammalia; Carnivora; Felidae. The record is from Rfam by way of RNAcentral.